UAGGGAAGGGGAAUGGGAGCGACCUGAAGGUGAAGAUCAUAGUGAAGCGAGAGCUCGUCUUCCAGUGUGUUUGUGCCAAACAGCAGAACUGUGCGGUGUUUCCUGACACCGGUAACAAUGCGGUGGUCAUCAGUUUACAGGAAGGGCCUGUUGUGACUGGAGAUGUGAAGGUCAUGUUUGAGUCCAGUGCUGGUUUGCCAAAAGGUUACGAGGACUGUCCUUUCUAUUUCUGGUUUAACACCUCUUUUGUUGAGAACAACAGCUUGUAUCUCUCGAGGGAGGAGCUGGACAAUCCACACAAAUCAAAGACCUGGGACAUCUAUAAGGAGGACUUCGGAGUGACGUUGUAUUUCACAGACCCUUGAGAAGAAAAUUCUCUGACAGUGGAUAUUGUUUACUAUUCUUGUCCUUUCGUAUAAGUAGAUAUAUCUCUUGAGGUAUACUUACAAUAAGCUGCAAACUGAAGCCAAUGUAAACACUCCACAUAAAUCUACAGAUAUAUAAGAUUUGAAUGUGAUGUGUAAAAAAUGUCAUUGCAUUUCCAUGGUUGUUUUUGUGUGCAAAAAAUGUAUGGGAAAUUCUUUGUUUUUGUACUGUGGUUCUGUUUAUCUUUGGCAGCAG
Sinocyclocheilus grahami is the source of this 621-nucleotide long non-coding RNA. RefSeq lists it as uncharacterized. Lineage: Eukaryota; Metazoa; Chordata; Actinopteri; Cypriniformes; Cyprinidae. The record is from RefSeq and is a predicted model, not a curated record. The transcript is spliced from 4 exons.